This 368-nucleotide ribosomal RNA is filed under the name uncultured organism. RNAcentral describes it as "bacterial SSU rRNA". It matches the Rfam family "Bacterial small subunit ribosomal RNA", at positions 526 to 896 of the family's 1533-position model. The record is from RNAcentral.
CGUAGGUGGCAAGCGUUGUCCGGAUUUAUUGGGUUUAAAGGGUGCGUAGGCGGCUCCAUAAGUCAGUGGUGAAAUACGGCAGCUCAACUGUCGAGGUGCCAUUGAUACUGCGGAACUUGAGUACUGAUGAGGUAGGCGGAAUUGACGGUGUAGCGGUGAAAUGCUUAGAUAUCGUCAAGAACACCGAUAGCGAAGGCAGCUUACCAAGCAGUAACUGACGCUGAGGCACGAAAGUGCGGGGAUCAAACAGGAUUAGAUACCCUGGUAGUCCGCACAGUAAACGAUGAUUACUCGAUGUUGGCGAUACACAGCCAGCGUCUUAGCGAAAGCGAUAAGUAAUCCACCUGGGGAGUACGCCCGCAAGGGUG